AUUGAACGCUGGCGGCAUGCCUUACACAUGCAAGUCGAACGGUAACAGGUCUUCGGAUGCUGACGAGUGGCGAACGGGUGAGUAAUACAUCGGAACGUGCCCGAUCUUGGGGGAUAACGAGGCGAAAGCUUUGCUAAUACCGCAUACGAUCUACGGAUGAAAGCGGGGGAUCUUCGGACCUCGCGCGGACGGAGCGGCCGAUGGCAGAUUAGGUAGUUGGUGGGAUAAAAGCUUACCAAGCCGACGAUCUGUAGCUGGUCUGAGAGGAUGAUCAGCCACACUGGGACUGAGACACGGCCCAGACUCCUACGGGAGGCAGCAGUGGGGAAUUUUGGACAAUGGGCGAAAGCCUGAUCCAGCCAUGCCGCGUGCAGGAUGAAGGCCUUCGGGUUGUAAACUGCUUUUGUACGGAACGAAAAGCCUCUUUCUAAUAAAGAGGGGUCAUGACGGUACCGUAAGAAUAAGCACCGGCUAACUACGUG
Molecule: ribosomal RNA, 482 nt
Filed under: uncultured bacterium
Lineage: Bacteria
Description: partial 16S ribosomal RNA
Rfam family: Bacterial small subunit ribosomal RNA
Source: RNAcentral